Molecule: transfer RNA, 69 nt
Filed under: Hemathlophorus sp.
Lineage: Eukaryota; Metazoa; Arthropoda; Insecta; Hymenoptera; Tenthredinidae
Description: tRNA-Gln
Source: RNAcentral
UAUUAAUUAGUGUAAAAUAAACAUUAAUUUUUGAAAUUAAAAAAAAUAGUGUAAUUCUAUUAUUAAUAA